UACGAAGGGGGCUAGCGUUGUUCGGAUUUACUGGGCGUAAAGCGCACGUAGGCGGAUCGUUAUGUGAGGGGUGAAAUCCCAGGGCUCAACCCUGGAACUGCCUUUCAUACUGGCGAUCUUGAGUCCGGAAGAGGUGAGUGGAACUCCUAGUGUAGAGGUGGAAUUCGUAGAUAUUAGGAAGAACACCAGUGGCGAAGGCGGCUCACUGGUCCGGUACUGACGCUGAGGUGCGAAAGCGUGGGGAGCAAACAGGAUUAGAAA
This 261-nucleotide ribosomal RNA is filed under the name uncultured bacterium. RNAcentral describes it as "partial 16S ribosomal RNA". It matches the Rfam family "Bacterial small subunit ribosomal RNA", at positions 524 to 784 of the family's 1533-position model. The record is from RNAcentral.